UCAACAUGUCCUUUCUUCGGCCACCCGGACCCACCAUCUUCUUGCGCUUGUCCGCACGUACAAGCUUGGGGAUCCCUCGACGCGUUGAUCGGACGGCUUAGAGCCGCUUACGAAGAAAACGGUGGACGGCCGGAUUCGAACCCGUUUGCUGCACGCGCCGUUAGGAUUUACUUAAGGGAAGUCAAAGAGAGUCAAGCUAAGGCUCGUGGGAUUCCUCACGAGAAAAAGAAACGGAAACGGAAACCUACCGUUACCACCGUUAGAUUGGAUGUUGACUUAGCGAGUGGAAUCGCCGGAGAAGGAAGUAACGGUGUUUCUCCGUCUGC
Molecule: long non-coding RNA, 326 nt
Filed under: Eutrema salsugineum
Lineage: Eukaryota; Viridiplantae; Streptophyta; Magnoliopsida; Brassicales; Brassicaceae
Description: long non-coding RNA (ESAL_LNC001924)
Source: RNAcentral